Molecule: unclassified non-coding RNA, 1140 nt
Filed under: Hevea brasiliensis (rubber tree)
Lineage: Eukaryota; Viridiplantae; Streptophyta; Magnoliopsida; Malpighiales; Euphorbiaceae
Source: RNAcentral
GGUUAGGGUUUGUAUAAAUCUGUUAUUCUUUUACUUCUUCCACAAUUUGUUUGUUGAAUUCAUAAUCCAGAAUAAAUCAGACUUUUUUUGAUUGAGUUUUAACGGAAAAUUUAAUAGAUUGAACGAAGGGGGGAAAACGACGAAUUGAUUGAACUCUGCAUUGAGAGGAAUGGUGGAAGUUGUCAUAUACCGGUGCUAUUGAUAUCUUUGAUAAUUGUUGACCUGGCGAGGUCUAUUUGAUAUAUAGUUCUUGUUGGCCUAGCAAGGUAUAGUGUAAUUUGAGCGGAUUAAAUGUUGAAAAGAAAUAUCUGAUAUGUACAGAAUUGGGGAGGUAUUCUCAUGGCACCUACUGUUCCAAUAGAUUACGUUGGACAGAGAGAAUCAAGGAAGUUCUUUAAAAAGGAUUCAGUUGAUAUUAUGGGAAAGUCACGCAAGGGUUUUAAAGGUUACUUGCCUGGAAUUGUGCCCGAUUAUCGUAAUGCUGUUGAGACAAUGGCAGAAUCCGAAGGUUUUGGGAGCUCCGGACGCAUUGAUACUGAAAGGACUGCAUCGGAGGACUCUUGCGCACCUAAAAGAAAAUCCAUUUGUUUGAAUGCUGAUGGUCAUGACCAAUUUGGUGCACCUAUUCAAUCAAUGUCGUUGUCCAGUAUGUCAUCCUCUGAAAAAAAAGUGUUGGGAAUUAGGUUGAAGAAUGAACUUGAACUAGUCAGGGGACUGCAGAAGAAAAUUGCUUCUGUCGGCUCAAAUAUUGGGGUUCUUUCACCUGCUAGCGAUCUUCAAAAUUGCACCAAUGGGCAGAGGAGAUCAGGAUCAGAGAUAUCUCAGCGAUAUAUGGCUGAAGCAGUGAUUCCUCCUGGGAAGAAAAAGCCUGCCCCAGUGAGAAAUGGGCCUCUUACUAAGGGUCCCGGAGCUAAGCGGCCUAAGACGAUGCAACAGGCCAUACCUUCAGAUACAAGCAUGGUCAUGAUUAUGAAACAGUGUGAGACAGUGCUAAGCAGACUGAUGUCACAUCAGCAUGGGUGGGUCUUCAAUCAUCCAGUUGAUGUCGUAAAGUUAAAAAUCCCCGACUACUUCACUGUUAUUAAGCAACCAAUGGAUCUAGGGACCAUCAGGUCAAAGUUGCAUUCGGGAGAAUAUUCG